RNAcentral lists this long non-coding RNA (1185 nucleotides) under Macaca fascicularis (crab-eating macaque). Its description in RNAcentral is "lncRNA (ENSMFAG00000054635.1)". The record is from RNAcentral. Lineage: Eukaryota; Metazoa; Chordata; Mammalia; Primates; Cercopithecidae.
GGGAGAGCUGCUCAUAGAGGGUUGCUGGCAUUUACACUCCUAACUCGGCUUUGGAAUCUGUGAUCUCUCAUCAAAUCCACACCUUUUGCUUUGUUUCAGAGUUGCCUGGACAGGAGGUCGCUUGGGAAGGUUUCUUCUUCCUUAUUCUCUGCCUGGAAUUGUCUAGGGAUUGCUGGCUGAUGCCCAGAUCACCAAGGCUCUCCCUGAGUGAAAUCCCAGGGAUCAUCCUGUGACUGGAGGUGAUUCUUGGAGUGGGGAAAAUUUCCUCCCAGAGAUUUGCAUCAUAUUCCCCAGGCAGGUGCAAGGCCGAGCCCUGAACAGAGCUGGUAUUAUUCGGAUGAGAAGAAAUAAGUGAUUUCCAGGGGCCAAGGCUUUAUUUCUUACAUUGACAUAACAUUCCAGCUGUGGGAAAUAGACAUUUCAUUGAUUUACUGUGGCGGUAGCUCUCUGCAGGCUCCUGAAUGCUUAUGGCUAUGAAUCACUUUUACUUUGUCUCUAUGGACAAAUCCCCAGCAAGGUAAGGAGGCAUCCUGCCAAAUCCAGAUAUGCUGUUUAGGUGAUGGAAUAAAUUUAAAUUUUUUGAGGAUCAAAUUAAUUUUUCUGACCUAGACAAUCCCUCUCUUCCAAAGAAAACUAUUCUGAAAGAUUUAUAGAAGCUAUUCAAGGAUAUUUGGAUCUUAUGCAAGUUUGACUUAAUCUUACCUGUUCUAGUAGAGCUUUAGGAAUUACAUUUUCUAUAAACUAACAAGAAAUGAGAGAAAGUAGUGCUUGAUAUGCACUUUUGACUCUCUCACAGCCCAGAAACUUAAAGACCAGCCGUUUUAUGAGCUGUAUUUUAUAAACUCUGUAUAUCCAAUUGUGUUCCUUUCUUCUUUCUUUGUUUUUUAAAAUUAGAAUUCUUUCCUUUAAGAAUCAACAUUGGUGUUUAAUAAAUCAUUAUUUACAACAAUGCUAUAGAAAGCUUUCUAAAUUGCUAAUGACUCAAAUAAAUGAGACAAUACAGCAAGUAUAUAAAAUCAAAUAUACAGAUAAGUCACAACUUUAAAAUUCCCACUUGACUUUUCUUCUGUCCCUGAGGACUGCAAAUAAUACUGCCAUAACAAAAUACCAUAGGUUGCAUGACUUAAACAACAGGGAUUUUUUUCUCACAGUUUUGUGGACUGGAAGUCUGAGAUCAGGGUGUCA